UAAUAAAUAGCCUUUUAAUUGGAGGCCAGUGAAUGGCAAGACUAGGGACAUCUGUACCCUGUAUAUAAAAACAACUUUUCAUCUGGGUGAAAAAACCCAAAUAAUAAAGGAAGACGAAAAGACCCCGCGGAACUUUACCUUUUCCAGUCCCCACAUGCUCAGAAACAUAAGAACAAAAGGUUUGAUUGGGGCAAUCUCGGAACCAACCAAACUUCCGAUCUAUAAAAAAAGUAUAUAAAACUCAAUAAGGACCAAAAAGAAGUUACCCCGGGGAUAACAGCGUAAUCCAACUUGAGAGUACACAUCGAAAGCUGGG
This 316-nucleotide ribosomal RNA is filed under the name Lampsilis hydiana. RNAcentral's name for it is "partial 16S ribosomal RNA". It matches the Rfam family "Bacterial large subunit ribosomal RNA", at positions 1962 to 2516 of the family's 2925-position model. Lineage: Eukaryota; Metazoa; Mollusca; Bivalvia; Unionida; Unionidae. The record is from RNAcentral.